ACUAUAAUAAUAAGGGGAACCUGGAAGUUAACACAGGAGAAGAAUGGGCUGGGUGAGAGGACAAACAGGAGAACAAAAAGGAAAAGUAACUCAAACCGAAAACCCCCGGGGCUGUGACUUGGGGGCGAGGAGGGCCGGACUGUGCGGCCCCGGGGGCCUUGGUACCCUGGACUCUGGCCCCUCUCGGCCUCGGCCGGGUUCCCCGCCCGGAGGCAAACCGAUGCAUUGGGAGGAUCGAACCCUUGGGGCCCACCAGGCACGAGCACCAGCAAGUCCAUCACCCAUUUGCUGAAACCUUCAGAGCCAGCGAAUUACGUUUCUCAAGUGCACUUGCUGAGACUGGGAAGCCUGGCACUAUCUGCUGCUCUUCUUACUGGGGAGAUGGCAUUGCCCAUUGGGAAUCAGCAGGAGGAUCUGAGAUCCUUGCUGAGCCAGACCAAGCUGAAGGGCUUGGACCAUCCAUCGAACCUAGACUUCUGGCUUGCAUUGCCAAGAAUAGACCAGAGGGAAAAUUGCGAGACCAACUUCUAACAUAUGGAAACUUUCUCCAUGCUUCAAGUCACUCUGACAAGAAAAAAGUCAUGAUUUGCAGACAUAGUGCAGUGAAGCACAAAGAACCCUAAACUGAGAAUCAGGAGACGUGCGUUCUUCUCUGGUCUCUUCCAUUAACUUGCUGUGUGACUUGAGGCAAGUCACUGUCCCUCUCUACACCUCAGCUUCUCAUCUAUAAAAUGAAGGGAUGGACUAGUUGAUUCUGACUUCCCUUUCUGGUCUAAAAUUUGAUGAAUCUGUAAAAUGCUUUACCAUCAAAUGAAAAAUGAAUUUAUAAAUGCUUUUAGGAGGGGCAGUCUUACAUAUAGAUGUAUCCUAUGGACCAUUAAACUAUUCUUUUUUUUUUUUUUUU
Long non-coding RNA from Dromiciops gliroides (monito del monte), 904 nucleotides. RefSeq lists it as uncharacterized. The transcript has 3 exons. The record is from RefSeq and is a predicted model, not a curated record. NCBI's taxonomy places the organism in Eukaryota, Metazoa, Chordata, Mammalia, Microbiotheria, Microbiotheriidae.